RNAcentral lists this ribosomal RNA (576 nucleotides) under uncultured eukaryote. RNAcentral describes it as "SSU rRNA". It matches the Rfam family "Eukaryotic small subunit ribosomal RNA", at positions 203 to 785 of the family's 1831-position model. The record is from RNAcentral.
UAUUUAUUAGAUAAAAAACCAACGCCCUUCGGGGCUCCUUGGUGAAUCAUAAUAACUUAACGAAUCGCAUGGCCUUGCGCCGGCGAUGGUUCAUUCAAAUUUCUGCCCUAUCAACUUUCGAUGGUAGGAUAGUGGCCUACCAUGGUGGCAACGGGUAACGGGGAAUUAGGGUUCGAUUCCGGAGAGGGAGCCUGAGAAACGGCUACCACAUCCAAGGAAGGCAGCAGGCGCGCAAAUUACCCAAUCCCGAUACGGGGAGGUAGUGACAAUAAAUACUGAUACGGGGCUCUUUUGGGUCUCGUAAUUGGAAUGAGAACGAUUUAAAUCCCUUAACGAGGAACAAUUGGAGGGCAAGUCUGGUGCCAGCAGCCGCGGUAAUUCCAGCUCCAAUAGCGUAUAUUAAAGUUGUUGCAGUUAAAAAGCUCGUAGUUGAACCUUGGGUCUGGCUGGCCGGUCCGCCUCACCGCGAGUACUGGUCCGGCUGGACCUUUCCUUCUGGGGAACCUCAUGGCCUUCACUGGCUGUGGGGGGAACCAGGACUUUUACUGUGAAAAAAUUAGAGUGUUCAAAGCAGGC